UACGGUAAUAAAUGGUUUCCGUUUAGGAAGUUAACAACUUCCCCAGGAUGGAGAAAGCUGAGUAUAUAAGGCGAUGCACACGACCAUUAGUCAUCAAUCAGCUUCCAUUCUUUUCAGCUUUUCAAGUUCUUCGAACCUGAAAUAGUUCCAGAACAUAAUGGCCUCAUCACAGAAAAUCAUUUUCAUCUGCGUCUGCCUUUUGCUAUCCUCAUGUGGAAUUAUUGUAGAAGCUGGAGGUAUGAUGGGAGGAAUGUUUGGUGGUGGUCAUCAUGGUCAUGGGGGUCAUGGUGCAGUAGAAGCUCUUCUCGCUGCCGGUCUUCUAGCUAAACUUCUUCGCAAGCACCAUCAUGGUCAUCAUGGACAUCAUGGACAUCAUGGGCAUGGACAUGGACUUUGCUUUAGACCUCGCUGAAGGAUACGACAAUGCAGAGGCUUUGUCACUUGCACCACUGAUCACGGUCUUUAUGGACAUGGUUACAGUGGCUGGUAGAAUUUCAUAAUGUCGAGAGAGUUUGAGCCAAGCCUGAGGAGGUUCUGCAGUUGUAAAAAUGUACAUUUGUAUUAUAAGUUCAUUGUUUUGUAAAUAAAGUUUUGUUUAUUUAUAUA
Long non-coding RNA from Stegodyphus dumicola, 606 nucleotides. The record is from RefSeq and is a predicted model, not a curated record. NCBI's taxonomy places the organism in Eukaryota, Metazoa, Arthropoda, Arachnida, Araneae, Eresidae.